UGGGGAAUAUUGGACAAUGGGCGGAAGCCUGAUCCAGCAACGCCGCGUGAGGGAUGACGGCCUUCGGGUUGUAAACCUCUUUCAUCACCGACGAAGGCUCAGCUUUUUGGUUGGGUUGACGGUAGGUGGAGAAGAAGCACCGGCCAACUACGUGCCAGCAGCCGCGGUAAUACGUAGGGUGCGAGCGUUGUCCGGAAUUAUUGGGCGUAAAGGGCUCGUAGGCGGUUUGUCGCGUCGGGAGUGAAAACACCGAGCUUAACUCGGUGCUUGCUUUCGAUACGGGCAGACUGGAGGUAUGCAGGGGAGAACAGAAUUCCUGGUGUAGCGGUGAAAUGCGCAGAUAUCAGGAGGAACACCGGUGGCGAAGGCGGUUCUCUGGGCAUUACCUGACGCUGAGGAGCGAAAGUGUGGGGAGCGAACAG
RNAcentral lists this ribosomal RNA (422 nucleotides) under uncultured bacterium. RNAcentral describes it as "bacterial SSU rRNA". It matches the Rfam family "Bacterial small subunit ribosomal RNA", at positions 355 to 775 of the family's 1533-position model. The record is from RNAcentral.